UCUGGCAAGGACGGCUUGGUGUGCACGC
This 28-nucleotide non-coding RNA is filed under the name Homo sapiens (human). The record is from RNAcentral. Lineage: Eukaryota; Metazoa; Chordata; Mammalia; Primates; Hominidae.